GGGCUUGUAACUCGAGUGAGAGCUUUAAGAUGGCUGGAGUUUGGCUUGGUUCAGAAGGCUGGGCUCUGUUGAAGUUUGCACAGGCUUGCCCAUUCCAAGUAUGGAGUUGUGCCUUGGCCACCUAGCGAAGGCUCGGGGGUCAAGGUCACUAAAGCGGAAGGCACAGCGCGAGGCUGGUUUCACAGAGCAGCGAUCACUUCCCUCUCUUGUCGGUGGAAGGAUAACAGGCUUGUUCUUGGCAAGUCCAUUUAACACCCGAUGAGCCACUCAAAUCAACAACCAUCUUUUUGUUUUUUUUUGCACCUUGGUGAGAGUCUGGGUAACUGAGUUAGCCUGUAAUAUAAGAACUACACAUGAUCAUCCUUUUUCAACAAUCAUAAUUAUGAUAGAAUCAACAUAUGAAACGAAAUGCCACAAUUGUGUGGAAUCAACAUACGAGAUUUUCGCUAUACAAAGGAAUGUUUGGUUGCUUGCGUUAUGCGGCUUACUUAUCCAACCAUAGGUAAAAUUGUGUUUUGCAUCAGUUAAAUGUGUGUUUCUAAGAUUUCAUUCAAAUUGAUUUGACCUCUUUUAUAUAAGAGUGCAGGUUCUAUAGCUGUUUCAAGGUGAUUUUAUUGUCUUCGGUGAAAUAUCAGAUCAAUAAAAGCUUGUGUUCGUUGAAGGAUCAACAAAAAACUGGGCUUAGGAAACUCUAAACUCUCAAAAGAUGGCAUAAUUAUAAAUGUCGGAUCGAGUCUUUCUAUUGCACUUUGAACCAAUGUGUUUAAACAGUUCUUCCGUCUCGGUUAAUUGGAUACAUAGACAAAUAAUCUCGAUGCAAUUAGGGAUAUGAUAAUCAGUUUACACAUCAAAAACUAUAUCAAUAAAAACAAUUGUCGCAGUUUUGGUACCCGUUGAAGAACAACAUCUACAUAGUAGAAUUUAAUAGCCGACACAACUAAUUUAACCUAAAAUAUUCGAGACUAGAAGUUAAGAUAAUAAACUUUUUCUGAAUGACCAAAGAUCUGGCCGGACUUCGAUAAAAGAAGUUGAUCAUUUCAAGUAUAUACAACACUUUCCGGUUUAGCAGGGGUUUUAGCCUUAGGUUAGCCUCUUCAAGUUUUGUAUAAAGCAUGGUUUGUAGAAUAGGGGCUUGGUUAUAUUUGAAAGAUAUACCAUUCUGAACCCACAUCGAAAAGGAACAAAACAUCAGCCUAACAGUGACCUAUAAAUAACGAGGAGGCUGCGAACUUGCAAAUUACUUACCUGGACAGGGUCAAUGGCUGAUCAAGAAGGGCCAUGGCCUAGGUUAGAGGCUUCCAUUGCACUCAGGAAGGGCUCUCGCCUAAGGUCUACCCAAGUGGUGGAGCCUAUGUCAUAAUUUGUGACAGGUGGAGCUUGCGUUCGCGCAGCUCCGCGCCAAUUCUAGUAAAAAUAUUUUUUGCAUUCAUUUUUUUUUUUGCAUUCAUUUAUUUGAAGCUAAUGUGAAAUUUAAUUAUAGUAUUUGGCAAUUUAUUAUUUAUAAUAUUAACCAAGUUGAGAUCUAUUAAACUAUAUAGUUUCAGGAUUUUAUUUGCCUCAAAUUUUCGGAAGGCCCUUAAAAAAUGAAGUCAUAUCAUUUGAAAAGAAUGUUGAAGUUUUGGUGACACUGAAGAGCAAGGAAUGCAUAGUAGAAUCACAAUUCUUGACAUGACAAGAUCAAGGGACAUGCGAUGAUUGACUAGUAUAAUACGAGCAUGAUUCACAUCUGAUGAAACUUUAGCUUGGAAGGAUUGUUGCCUUCCUCUUAUGGCAUGAUUUAUGGCUGAAUCAGUUGACAGUUGCAGUCUAUUAUGGCAUAGGCAGGAACUAUCUUCUCUCAAUGUAAAUAGGCAGUAUUUGCACAAUUUUCACAAAAUCUGGUGCUAGCUUUCUACCUGGUUCUGUUACGGAGCUAUUCUUAGCACUUCUCUUUGUGAACCAGGAGCUUGGAGCUCUUUUCCGGUUGCUUGCUAAAUCAAGGACUUUACCAGUGUUUCAAGUCUAACUAUACUUUUAAGCUGAAAAAUGUUUAUUUGUGUAAUAAAUUAGAAGUACAAUUAAAAUUAGAAAUAAGUCACAUACUGAAAAAUUCGUUUUAUGUACUCUUUUCUUUAUACACUUUAUUCAGUUACUUAAUUUUUAAAUUUUUUUGACAAAAUUUACCUUUAAGUUAUAAUUUAUCUAUAAAUCACUUUUAUUUUUAUCAUUAUAUUUUUAGUAAUCCAUAAAUCAUUAAUAAAUUAAAAUUACUCAAACAAAUAAUUUGAACUCUAAACUUAAAUCAUAAAUCAAAAUAUUAAAAACAACCAAAUGGUCUCUUAAACAUGCGCGCAAUAUUGUUGCUAAUCUAUUACUCCCCGUCUCAUUUUAAGUGGAAUGUUUUGACUUUCGUCGGUCAAAUUGACCAAUAUUUGAUCAAAGAUAAAGAAUAAAUUCAUUAUUAUUUUAAAAAAUUAAAAAUUACAUUUUAUAUUAUAUUAUAUGUACUUUAUAAUGACAUAAUUUUUUUUACCUUUAAAAAGUAUAUUAUAUGUGUAAAUCUUACGGGGGUGUAUUCGAUUGGGAUUUUAAUGCAUUGUUUUUAGUCUAUGGAUUUUAAUGGAUUGUAUGGGAUUUUGAUUUUUUGCGGAUUCUUGAUGAAAUGUCGCAGAGUUGAUAUGAUUUAGGUACAAUUCUUCGAAAUCCCAUUGAAUUUGGUGGGAUUUCAAAAAACUUAAAAUACACUGAAGAAUGCCACAAAAUCCAUCAUUUUAUGAAAUGAAAAAAAAUCCAUCAGCAUUUGAAUACCAUCAGAUUUUAAUGGAUUUUAAACAAUCCCAAUUGAAUACCAUCGGAUUUUAAAGCAUAAUUUAAAAUCCCAAUUGAAUACCACUAGAUUUUGCAGCAUAGUUUAAAAUCCCAAUUGAAUACCUCAAGAUAUUAAUGGAUUUCAAACAAUCCCAAUCGAAUACCCUUGGAUUUCAUGAAUGCAAAAAAAUGUUUUAAAAUCCCAAUCCAAUACACCCAUCUUUAGUCAAGAUUUGGUCAAUUUGAUCAUUUAAAACUCAAACUGGACAAUUAAAAUGAGACGAGGUGAGUAUUAAAUUGCUGGCUCAAUAAGUCAUCUCUCUCAUGAUUUGUUCUGGGUUUGAACUUGUAGCGCACGAUCGCAAGAGAAAAGAUAUUUAAUUAUAUAUUUUAAAUAUUAUUUUAUCAAUAAUAUUUAAAAUAUUAAAAAACUAGGAAAAUAAGAAUUAGAUUUUCCUACAUUUAACAACACUAACAGAAAAUUGGAAAGAGAUAGUUAAGUUUUAUUAAUUUUACCAUUUUGAACCAGCCCCCAUCGUGUCCUAUAAGUCUUUUUUCAGCAAAUCGAAAGUCAAGUUUCGGGAUUGCAGAAUCACUUAGCCCAGAGCCAGAUUUACGUGUAUGUAGUUUCUUAUACUCGAUUUAACACACACAAACACACACUCGUUGCUUGUGUAAUAUCUCUAGUUGUAUAGAUUCCUGAAUUCAUUGAUGUUAGUGCCAGACCUAAUUUUACUUUGUAAAUACCUUUGAAUUUUGAUCAUACAUCUUUGAUGCUUUUGUUUCUAAUUUUAGAUUCCAGGUCUUAACUUUAAUCUUUUGUUUCAUAGUCUGCUGAAAGUAAUACAACAAGCUGUAUUGUCACAUGAUGAGUAGUUAAGAAUGAAAUCGCAACUUCUGUUAUGUAAUACUAAUCAAAGUUUGUUAGGAUAUUAUACUGUUUUAACCAUUGUUUGAAUUGUUGUUAUCAAUUUUAGCAACUUAUCGUAUUCAGGCUUUCUUACUGUUUUUCUCUCCUCUGACGAGUUGCGGCUUUAAGUCCUUAUUAAGAUUUUUAACAUUGUCCAAUCCAAACCCCUUAUAUUGUACAGGUAAUUGACUGGGCUGAUUAAGCAAUGGCACUGAGAAUGGUAGCAAGGAAUUUUAGAAGUAAGCUUCUGCCAAGUUUAACUCCGGCAUAUAUGUUGCACUCUCAUGCUACAAGUUUCGGUAAGUCUGUUUCCUUUGAAUUUCAAUUUUUACUUUUUUAAGGUUUCCACGAAUUUCCAUCUACAAUCUAAAUGAAUUUGACAGAGUGAUUAUUUGUAAGUUUAUAGGGCAUUCUAGUGUUGUUUAGUUGUUGGACUUGUUAGAAUAUCUUUCUUUUGCCAUCAGUUAUGGAGGAUUUGAAUUUCUAACACUAGUGGUUAGUUAAUAACUUAAUAUGCAAAUCAGUUUUUUGUAGGCUGAGUUAUGUUGAGUCUAAGUCUUUAAAUUUUACUUGGUCGACAUAGUUGGAUGUUGUUUUUGAUAAGAUUGAUGAUAAGGAUCAUUGUGUAUCAUGUUUGUGCUUUACUUAGGUUUUAUGCACUUAUGGGGGUUGCUAUUAAUGCUACUAUUUGACAUAUGUUUUACACAGUUGGGAGCUGACUGCAGCAGUACUAUUUAGUAUUGUUGUUAUAUUAACAUUUGCUUCCAAACAAGGUUCGACAGCUAUUUACUACUGUAAACAGAUGAAGUCUUUUUAAAAACCACAAACCACAGACAUCACAAUGUAAGCAUAAUGCACUUGCAGAUCUCCUAUAGACAUGCCUAGCUUAUUUUUGUUGUCCCCAUCUCGAUUAAUUUUAAAAUAGAUAUGUCAACUGACCUCGUAGUAUUUAACAUCUCCAACACCUGAGGAUGAAGAUGAUGACGGGACUAGUAGCGAGUUGAGUUUGUAAGGUUCAUGAGUAACAUUGUCAUCAAAUAUUAGAUCGCUUUUAUCCUGUGAAUUGAUACUGUAUCUUUGUGUAUGAGUUAUAGUUCAUGAUACCGUCCCAGUUUAAAAACGAUAAAUUCAUAAUAGAUGUGAAUCGUCGUUCGGGACUAUGAGUUGAUGAUUACCCUCCAUUACUAGUUAGUAUUGUUAGUAUUAGGUGGUAGUUUAGUGUUUACUAAUACAUUUUAUUAUAUUCCAGCUGUGUUAUUUUGUAUCUAUAUAUGUAUCUUGUAACUGCAGAGUAAUAAAAUCAGACUUAUGUAUAUUUCUCUGAAUAUUGAUGAGAGUUAUCAGUUUGAGAUUGCUUGGGGGCAGAGAUUGGGCUGUGGUUCAAUCAGCCCAGGGCUGAUGAUCACUGUUCUUGUUGUGUUUAUUAUCAUCUGUUAUAAUCUUAUUCUUCUUAUUGUGCUUCAUCAAAUGAACAUCAGAAAACCUACUUCUGGUUGUUUUCAUUGAUAAGUUCAUGCCACUGUUAAACUGGACUAGUGAAUAGUGAUAUAUGAAAAAAAUGCAUGUGGUAGCUUAAAAAAAACGAAGAGGGAGUUCCCUCUUCCAUUUAAUCUAUUUAGAAGCUAAUAUGCAAAGAAAUGUUCCUUUUCUUCUGGAGUCGUAUGCUUAGUUAUGUCCAACGUCUGCCAAGUAGAUUGUCUUCAUAAGAAGAUAUAAAGAACUGAAAAUCUGUACUUUAUGUAUUGGAACUAUUUGUUCAUUCCAUUGACAUCCAUUCCCAUUGUCAGGAUAUAAAGAAAUACCGGAAGAAGAAAAGAGCAAAAUGGUUGGUAAUGUCUUUACUAGUGUUUCUUCGAACUAUGAUCUUAUGAAUGACCUGAUGAGUGCUGGGUUACAUAGAUUAUGGAAGGAAAGGUUGUAAAUUCUAUACUUUAAAUAUACUCUAAUUUGUAUUAGUCUCGCGUGCUUUUACCAACAAUUAAAUUUAGUUACUUAUAAUUUUCCAGAUUAGUAUCCAAACUAAAUCCAUUUCCUGGAAUGAAGCACCUUGAUAUGGCGGGCGGAACAGGUUUUUAUCAUUUCAACGUAUUGUCUUUCUUAUAAUCACAAUUGUUAUAGCCUGAUAAUGUUAUUUUGAGCAAGGUUCUUACAUGAGAAACUAGGAAAUAAUUAACUCCCUAGUGUGUAUAUGUUUCCAUUAUUUUUCUGAUGCCAUUUGUUCCAAGCAAAUGGAGCAUCGUUUCCAUUCUUUUCUGAUGCCAUAUCACAUAUGUUCCAAGUGAAUGGAGCAUAUUUUUAUGUUUCGGCUGUCUUUCUUUUUUAAGGAGUCAAAAUAUCAUUAAUAUAAUAGAUAUCUUGUUUUAAGUGUCUACAGACUCUGCACGAUGAAGCAGAUAUAUAUGUGUAUGAAUAUAUAAUAUUCGUUAGGUAAAUUUUGUAAGUUUGGCUAAUUGCAGGAGAUGUUGCGUUUCGAAUUCUAGAAAGCGUGAACAGUGUUAGGCAUAAAGCCCUACGAGAUAUGCUCGAAGAUAAUUUCCAGGAAAAAACCCAGAUAUAUGUAUGUGAUAUCAACCCACAUAUGUUAAACGUUGGCAAAAUGCGGGCCCAAGAGGGAGGUAAUAUAGGAGGAGUGUUACAUAGCGAAAAAUUAUAUUUUCUAUUGCCACUUGUAUAGUCUCAUAACAAUGAGUCCUACCUGUUAUUUGUUACAUACUAGCAUCUGUAUUUGUAUCGUUGUAGGCCUAGGAGAAGAUGGAUCUCUUGUAUGGGUUGAAGGAGACGCGGAAGCAUUAAAUUUUGAGGAUGACUCAAUAGAUGGUUAUACGAUUGCUUUUGGUAUUAGAAAUGUGACACACAUAGAGAAAGUUCUUUCUGAAGCUUACAGGUAACUUGCCAACUUGUAUGCUGAUUGGACUUUUAUGUAUGUAUCUGUGUAAAUGUAGCUUGAGUUAAUAUUUUAUGGCUCAGGAAGUCCUCAACCUAAAAUGGGUUUUUUUACCAUAAAAUGUAGCUUGAUCAUAAAAUGGGUUUUUUUUACCAUACUAUUGUUCACAUAGUAAUACUCCAUCUAAAGUUCUUGUAUCUAUACGAUAAAAAGGAUUCAAGGAGACAAUUUCCUAAAAUUUGAACUUGCAGGAAAGUUUGGCAUACAAAUUAAACUUUUCUACACACCAUAAGAAACAAACAUAGAAAGAUAGUAAUUCCACCUUUUCUCUGCUUAGCGAACAUCGCUUCACGUGCCCAACUUUUCUUGUAUUCUGAAGUAUAAGAUGAAACCCAAUCUAUCAACUAAAACCUCUAGAGAUAUUGAAACACUAGUAAUGCAACUUGCAACAACUUUGCCGCUUCUCUAAAAAGUGUUCUAAACUCAGUUAGAUGGCCAUUGCAAACGGAAUUAUCACUGCAACCUUAGGGGAAGAAAGGAAGAAACAGAGUCAUUGGGAUAACAAUUCACACUAGAGCAUCAACAAGUCAAUCCAAAGCUCUAAUGUGUUAGUAACAGCAGUUAAUAUCCCACGUCAUCGCCUAAGCUAUAUUAGACUUUUGAAAAGUUGCCAUAGCUCUUGAAUUAGGGGGAAGAAGUUGCCAACUUGUUCUUGUUAUUUUAAACCUAAAUGUUGCAUACAGGAUGCUAAUAUGAUAUUUUAUUCGCAUGUUAAAAUGAUGCCUAAUUUAAAUGUCAUAGUGCCAAAAUUGCACUUGUGCAAUAAAGGAGGAAAUUUAUAAAUACAUCAAGUCUGACUGUAGCUGUUGGUCCUUUUAGCUGUUACAGUACUUAAUUCCUGGAGUUGUUUGUGUCAGGGUGCUUAAAAAGGGGGGAAGGUUUCUUUGCCUUGAGUUGAGCCAUGUGGAAAAUCCAGCUUUCAAGCAGUUGUGAGAUUUUUACAUAGUAUAUUAUGCGAAUUCUUAAAUCACAGUUGGAUGCUCCUUUCUUCAAAUCACGUAUCUGGAAUCUUAGUUAUAUAUUGGUGACCUAUUUUGCAGUUAUGAUUAUUACUCGUUCUCAGUGAUUCCCACCAUUGGGGAGCUAGUUGCCGGGGAUCGGGAUUCUUACCAAUACUUAGUUGAAAGUAUUCGCAAGUUUCCCUCACAGGUAAAAAACUACACUUUUGACAAAACCACAGUAAAGGUUUGUUGUUGAUACCUAGCCAAAUUUUUUGCAAGUCCACAAGUUUACACGUCAGUUUUCAAUUCCAGCUGCUGCUUACAAAAUAUUAAUUAUUUUGAAAAUAUUCAAUGAAGUAGCAUAUAGACGAAAUAACCAAAAAGAUGCCUAAAAAGUAAAUAUUGUAAUAUGGUGGAGAAUCUUAUACCAACUAUGAAGUACAAUUCAACUGGAAGUACUUACAAGUAAGAAUCUCGAUUUUAGAAACAGAAAGAAAUGUUUUUUCUCACUCCUAAGAUUCUGAUUUAACUAAAACUCCUAGACAUAUCUACGCAAGUGGGGUGAGUGCAUAUCACAGCCAACUUGCACAUAUGAAAUUAGUUAGAAGUAAUUUGUAUAACUAGAAAACAGUAGAUAUAAAAUUUUGAUGUUUUUGGGCAAUAGCAUUAUAUAUUUAUAUUAGCUUUAUCCUGAUCGAUUAUAUCUUUUGCAUGUUUUAACUACUGCUUUCAUCAGAUCCUGUGCAUGUUUAGAAUACUGAUUUCAUUAUAUUAUAUGCAUGUUUCAAACACUGAAUUCAUCUGUUAGACUUAGAUAUAAAGGUUAUAUAUUUUAAUUUGAGUACCUCUACCAACUGAAAUUACGUGAUUUUAUAUAAUCAAUCAUAGAUAUGUCCGUAACAUUUUGUAUUAAGAGUCAGGUGACAUACCUUUAAUAUCUGCAGUUUCAGUACUCAUAGUGGAGAUAAUUAGCAGAGCCAAUAUAGAGUAUGUUAAUACAAUGUGAUGAGAGGUGACUGUAUGGCAUCCUGUAGUCAUAUGGAAUGAUAGCUGACAAACAAAUGAACUUGUCAUACACUUAUACUAAUAUGGCCAUAACCCAUGCAUUCCUCAAUGCCCAAUUCUCAAUAGUAGCUAGAACCACAUAGAAACAUUCUGUGGCUAUAUGUGGGCUUCACAAGUUUCUCGAUCUUAGGAAGAGUGGAUAUGUGUAUUUCCACUAUGAAUCUGAGACCUGUCGGAGUCUGGCGUGACACGAGUCACAAAAUUAAGAAAUAUGAUAUUCAUUAGUAAAAUUGGAAAUUGUAACUUGAGAGCAAGGUUAUGUUGCUGUUCUUGGACUAAAAUAACACAGGAUGAUGUUAUGAUCAUUUACUUCCAGUUUCCUAGUUUGUUGAAUAAUUCAGUUGUUAAAAAUAAAAAAUGAAUCCUUAUUGCAGGAGAAAUUUGCUUCACUAAUUUCGGAAGCUGGAUUCCAGAUGGUUGAAUACGAAAAUCUUGUUGGUGGAGUUGUCGCAAUUCAUUCUGGAUUAAAGAUUUAGAGCAGAUAUUGCAAAAAAACUUUUUUCUUCUCACUCUCUCUUUUUUUUUAUUAGUUUUUUUCGCCAGGUACUGCUAAAUGCUGUGUUCCGACAGUGAGGGUAAUCUGGUUGGAAAACUCCUAAAUUUUGUGUCUGACUAGCUUAAAGAUGAAUCAUUGAAAGGAGAUUGCCUAAAUAAUGUAAUUUCUUAGUUUGCUGAUUUUGUUCAACUGGUGUUGGGAGUGACCCGGAGGAAAACAACAUAUGGAAGAACUAGAGAAUUCCAACCUGUACAUGUAAUGGUGGGAAAACAUCUGUCUGCGAGUGAGAGAAAGAAUGUACAUAAUGUGUAUAACGGUUUUCCUAUGGUGUGCCCAUGGGCACAUGCUAAGCGCGGAAAAUUUUGUGCUUGAGAGAUUUUGAUUGGCUCCUCUCUCUUGAUAAUGGUGGACCCCCUGCAAAUACAGCGUACAUAAUGUGUAUAACGGUUUUCCUAUGGUGUGCCCAUGGGCACAUGCUAAGCGCGGAAAAUUUUGUGCUUGAGAGAUUUUGAUUGGCUCCUCUCUCUUGAUAAUGGUGGACCCCCUGCAAAUACAGCAACCACACCAAUCAAAAUCUCCCAAAUACAAAAAUUUCCGCGCUUAGCAUGUGCCCAUGGGCACACACUAGACAAACCGUGUAUAUAAUUAUUAAUAUUUUGACUUUUCUUUCGUGGACUUUGUUUUGAUUGCAUAUUUAAAAAACUUUUUUUAUGAAUAAAGAUAUGAUAAUAAUAUUUUUAUUCAAAAAUGAUAUUAUAAGUAUAUGGCUAAUUUUUUUGAAAAUAGGUAUAAGAAAAUCAAAAGAUUUACGGAUGUAUUCGAUUGAGAUUUUAAUGGAUUAUUUUUAGUUUAUGGAUUUUAAUGGAUUGUAUGUGAUUUUUUUUUUUUUUGAAAAAAAAGGAGAUAAUUCAUUAAAUAACAGCCAUACGGCAUCUAUAAAAAUGAUCGAGUCGAACAAACAUAGAACAUAUUAACACGUCUGUUUUCAUACCCAAGAUGAGACAAAUAAGCGAUGUUGAAAUUGACGAUAGUAUAUUUAUAGAACCUCGCUCUGUGUUCACCAUCAUUUCCAAAAUAAAUCCGUUUGAGCUAUCAACCACAAAUGCGAUUCCCGGAAGGCUUUUAUCAAAAUCCAAAACAACUCUCACAAAAGGAGAGAAAAAUCACACACUCUCACCAGGAGAGAAAUCAAAAUAACACACGAGAGAAAAUUCAAUUGCAAACUAAAAUGAUUACAUCUGCACCACGAACCCACACUAGAAGAUGAUCGAUCCACUCACAAAUCCAAAAAUUCCUCUAGAAACGAAUAAGAACGAAAAUUCAAAGUUUCGGUGAUAUAGAUCUAGGAUAACUUUGCCCAAAGAGAGAGUUUUAUUGAGAAAAUCAAUGAAACAAACAUGAACAACCGGAAAACAAGCAAGUAAACGAAAGGAUUCGGGGCUUUCCGCCGAAAAAUCGGUGGAAGCCCCGGGAUGAGAAAAGAGUGAGGCGGCUAGUGAAAAGAGAGAAGAAGACUAUGGUUUUAUUAUUUUUUUGACGGAUUGUAUGUGAUUUUGAUUUUUGUGCGGAUUCUUAAUAAAAUGUAUAUAGGGGUGUAUUGGAUUGAGAUUUUAAAUCAUUUUUUUUUCAUUCAUGAAAUCUGAGAGUAUUCGAUUGGAAUUGUUUGAAAUUCAUUAAAAUCCAGGGGUAUUCAAUUGGGAUUUUAAAUUAUGAUACAAAAUCUGGUGGUAUUCGAUUAAGAUUUUAAAUUAUAUUUUAAAAUCUGAUGAUAUUCAAUUGUGAUUGUUUAAAAUCUGUUGGUAUUCAAAUGCUGAUGGAUUUUUUUGAAUUUCAUAAAAUUAUGAAUUUUGUGACAUUUUUCGGUGUAUUUUUAAUUUUUUGAAAUUCCAUCAAAAUCCAUGCAGGGUCCUUCAUAGUCUUGAGCUAUGUAUAAACUUAAGUCAUCUACAAUUUUUUUUAAUAAGAAAAGUCAUCCACAAUUAAUCAAACAACACGAGAACAUAAAAGUUGUAACAAAACAUGAUCACUAAACUCUGACAAAAAAAAACACAUAGAUCACUAAACUAUAAAUCAUAUUAAAACACCAUAUACAAAUGUUUAGACCAUCUCCAACCCAUCAAAAUCUUUAGCUAAAAUUCAUUAAAUCAUAUUAUGAAUAAAAAAUUAUCGAUAAUGUCUGAAAUUCGCUCCACUCUAAUCACACAUAACUCUUAUCUAAAAAUAUAGCCAAACAAUUGAUGUUGGCUAUAUUUGGCCAACCACUACAGGCCAGACUGUAGCAAUAUUGUAGUAAGAUUUCGUAUCAUUACCAUAUAAUAAUAUACAUUUUAUUUAUUACAAUUUGAAAGAAUAAUAACUUACUAUUUCUGAGAUAUAGCCAACCAAUAUAGCCAGUACCAUCGAAGCAAAAUAACUUACAGCUUCGACAAAUUUUAUAUUAGAUCUUAUAGGUCUAAUUUAGCCAACACUAUUGAAGAUGCUCUUAGAUAUCAAAAUGUAGAGUAUACGUACUACUCUGCGAUCACAUUUAUCAAAAGCAUAUUAAUUAAUACCAUUUAUCUAGAUGAAUAUGAAGAAUCUCAAACAUUAACCAUGUUUUAUUUUAGAAUUAAUGACUUUUUAGCCCUUGAAGUAUGGGUGGAAGUUCCGAUACGGUCUCAAAAUUUAAAAACGUACCUUUCGACCCUCAAAAUAUCCUUAUCGUAUCUUUUAGCCUUUUUUAAAAAUACCGGUAUAAAUCGGGGAUAAACUUGACGAUUCAUAUUCGGAGUAAAGUUUGGGCGUACAUUUUAACUCUUAAAGUAUACAUCUCGUUCCGUUUAACCCCUAAAGAAUACAUUAAAAUACAUUAGAUUUUCAUUUUAACCCUUAAUGUUUAAUUCCCUUUUUAACCUUUGUGAAAUGUCAACUUUGUCGACCCCGCUAUAUACCGGUAUACACCAUAAAAGCUAAAAGAUACGAUAAAGAUACUUUGAGGGUCGAAAGGUACGUUUUUAAAUUUCGAGGUCGCAUCAGAACUUCCACCCAAACUUAAAGAGAUAAAAGGUUAAACCUUUAUUUUAACAAAGAAAAAUAAUCAAUGCAGAAGCGGUGAAAGGGAUAUUGUUGACGGAGAUCUAGAUAAAGGAAACACUGGUUAUCGAUGAUGAUGGUGAUAUGAAAAUGAAAUAAUAAAAAAUUUGUCGGAUAUAUGAACAAAAUAUAAAGAUAAAUAAGAAAGAGCGGAUGUACAUAAUUAAAGUUUGAGUUAUUGUUUUUACUUACUCUUGUAAAUGAUGUAUUUUUCUCUUUUUCUCUUGAGUUUUUCUCUCAAAAACCGAAACCUAGUUUGUGGGCUAUCUUUUCAGGGUCAAUAUCGUCUGAACCUUGCUUACUUUUCGGUUACAUGGUACUCCCUCCAUUUUUUUCUCCCUGUUCCAUAUGCUGGCAUUGUUCAUAACAUGAGAUAAAUUACUAAUUUACGUCUAAUAAACUUAAAUAUAGUUUUGAGUGAUCUUGUUGGAUUUGUAUUCACGAGUACUUUAAUACGGUGAAAUUUUUAUAUUAAAUAAUAAUACAAAAUUAAAAAUAUUAAUGAUUAAAAAAUAUGUGUUGGUAAACGUUAAAGACAAAUAGAAAAAAUAAUAAGAGACGGAGGGAGUAUUGUUUGAUGAACGAAGUAAACUCUAUUCCGUGGAAUGUUGUAUUCUCGAUAUUCAGUUUCGAUGGAAAUUUAUUUUCCUUCUUAAAAGCCCGAAUUACCGCUGUGCUCGUAACUUCAUAAAUCUAUGCAAUUCCAAUUCCAAAUCAUAAAUUUAUGAAACAAAUAUGAUCCAAAUUAUUUUUUUAUCUAAAUUUUGGAGACGUUUUUGCUUUCACUCAGAUGAAAGACUUUUUUGUAUUUUUGUUCGGGCACACUCGAGAAAGAUCUCUUGUAGCAUUUGUAUAGUAGGGAUAUUUUUGGUUGGGAGUGGUUUAACACCACAGUGAUUGGGCUUGGAAAGCUUGAAAUUUGGGCAUGCUGAUUAGCUGUCAUGUUUCCAAAUUUCCUAAUAUCAUCUGCUUCCCACUGCUUGGCCGGAAUAUAUUAAUUAAUCUCUCUCUCUCUCUCUCUCUCUCUCUCUCUCUGUAUACAAUACACUUGCACGCGCGCGCGCACAUUUAUAUUGUGUUGUUUCUACAACAACUCACUCUCCUGGUGAUGGCUCCUCAAGUCGGCGACGGAGUCCCUGAAGCCUCCUCCACGGAGCCAACCAUAUUCAAACCCAAAGAAACUUCAGCGUUUCACUCCUAUUUAACAAUUUUAUUGUGGCUCGGAUCCAUUCAUUUCAUCGUCUUCCUUAUUCUCUUCUCCUUCUUCUUCCUCUCUUUCUCCAAGUCUCUGCUGUUAGUAANAUAUCACUAAUUUAUAAAGCGAAUAUCACUAGUUUGUAAAGCGAAUAUCACUAAUUUGCACAACAUAAAUCAUUGAUUUCUAUAACUAUAUCAACAACCCCCCCCCCCCCCCCCCCCCCCCCCCCCCCCCCUCUCCCCAACCAGUCAACCAAAUUUGAAGUCUUUAUAUGAAAAUAUACUGAUUUGGACUUUAUUUUUGAAUUUGUUUGUUAUUCGACAGUGUAUAUGGAUUGCUGCUCUUUCUUGCUCUUGUUCCCGUUAAUCCUAAUAGUCCAUGGGGCCGUAAUUUAGCGAGGUCUUACAAAAGAUUCUACCUUUAUAUUUCUCUGUGUGUGGGAUUUUGCGUUGAUUAUGCACUAAUCUUCCACUAUGUGUAGGUAUAUAUGCAAGCAUGUUUGUGGAUAUUUCCCUUUGACUUUAUAUGUGGAAGAUAUCAACGCAUUCUCUCCGGAUCAGGCUUAUGGUAAUAAUUAAAAUGUUUCUUUUCUUUAAUCUUGUAGUAAUUCUGAUGAUAUUUGUGUUAAAGAUGCUGAGUUUGGAUUAAUUGGAAAUUCGUAAACUGGCCCACCUGCCUAUUUCCAAUUUUGCUUUGGUGUAUAAAUAUCACUCCCAUGUAAAGAUUUUAAAUUGCAUCAGCGAUAUUGAAUUAUGCGACUUAGUUGUCAUCUAUUGGUUUUGAGCUAUAACAAGGUUUAUGGUUUUCAAUCAGAUCUAACACACAACCUGGGAAAAAAGGUCCAAGUUUAACUUGCUUCUAGGUAGGCAAUCUAUAUGGAUUCUGGUCCCCAUUGGUAGUACAGUUGGCCUGAUAAAGCAUAUAUACUUUUCAGAUGUGAAAUUUUAUGUUUACUUCUGUAUAGUUCUUAAAGCUAAAACUUGUGUAUCCAGGUCUCUUUUGGUACACCUUUCUCUUUUAUGCUAGCCAGGUUUGCCUUUUUCAGCUAUAAUAUAUUUGGCUUGCUUUAUGCAGUUUUCGGCUAUGAGCCGCAUUCAGUUUUACCAAUUGCUUGUGUUGCACUGGCCGACCUUACAGGCUUCAUGCCUCUUCCGAAAAUAAAGGUCCUUGCAAGCAGUGCUGUAAGAAUCAUAUCCUUGUAACCUUACAUGAGCUAGAGUUGUAUGUUAAUUCAUUUCUUCUAUUCUCACAAUUGGCAAUUACAUGUAGGUGUUCCACACUCCAUUUCUGAGGCAUAUAUGGACUUGGUUGGGACUUGCCGCAGCAUCAAGGAAAAACUUUUAUAAUUUCUUGUCAUCUGGUUAUAGCUGCAUUGUAGUCCCAGGUGGAGUGCAAGAGACCUUGUACAUGGAACAUGGUUCUGAGGUUGACACCCUUUGUGUUUAUUUUUUGUUAUUGCAAAGUACUACAAAAUCUUAAUAUAACCUUUAUCCUUCCUAUCAUGGGUGUCAAGGGCCCUUUGUAGGCUGUGUAUUAAUUAACUUUAUAAAUACAUGUUCUGCCUUUUUAUCAUGCAUUAUAUGAUCUUUACAUUGAUCAUGCGUAAUAUGAUUUGUAUACGAUGUUGAUUUCUGCAAAUUACUAGCGUAGUCCCUACUAAACAGCCAUAUAGAUAGAUGUAAUUGAUGUAAAAAAAACUACUUUGACAAAAGAGUGUCAUCGCCUACAUGUUUUGCUAAUUCUUUGUUCAUUAUCUCUUAUAAGGACCCAGUCGUAUUUUCAGUGGUAAAAUGUUUCAAACAAUACAGGACAAAUGCUUAGCUAAAGAUCUCAUUUACCUCAUUUUGUUUAUGUUAUUAUUCUUUAGCAAUUUUUCAUUUUGUAGGUUGCUUUUCUUAAAGCAAGAAGAGGAUUUGUACGAAUAGCAAUGGAGAAGGGAUGCCCAAUAGUUCCAGUGUUUUGUUUUGGACAGGUACUGCUUUCUCAUUCCCUAUGUUUUUGUGUAUUAUAUGCUUUUGAGAUUUAUGGCAUCUUAAAAACCCGCCACAUUCAGCAUUCUUAUUGGGAAUGUAACCUUAUUGUAUAUGUUAUAUGUACUUUGUCAAUCCAUAAUGUAUAUAAUAUGUUGUGAAACAGCAGUUAUAUGUUUUCUAGUAUAGCUUGGCUGCUUGUUCAUAGCAUUUCCUACUGCAUCUUUCCCUCUCAUCUUCAAUGUGCAACUUUGUCCUGUAGAGUUUUUCGUCUCUGCAUGCGCUCCCUGUAUACAUUCAAUAUUUACAUAGUUUUCUUAAAUUGCUGCAGACGGAAAUCUACAAAUGGUGGAAACCUGGUGGAAAAUUGAUCUUCCAACUCGCUAGAGCUAUAAAGUUUACACCAAUAGUUUUCUGGGGUAUAUAUGGGUAUGUCUUGAGCAUCAACCUCUCCAUACUGACCAUUUUUAUGGACCUCAUUUAUACGCCUUCGUAAAAUUGUGGUGCCUACUGGGAUAUAAGGCACUUAGUAAUGAUGCAAUAAUUGCAGGCGUUGAGAAAUAAUUUGGUGUAUAAUCUUUUGCGUCAACCAGGAAAUUAGGUGACAUUUAACAGAACUGACAAUAGGCCAUUGAAUCUUUUCAUGCAGUUAUGUAGAAAUGCAUUCGCACUUGUGCGUGUAGCAUUUCAUUUUGUCCUUUCCUGUCAGUUAUGGACAUGCAUUUGUUAUUAUCUGUUUAUACCUAUAGGUAAUGUUUCUUUUUUGCAGUUCUCCUCUACCCUUCCGCAAACCAAUGUAUGUGGUGGUCGGUAAACCCAUUAAAUUCAAGGAAAACCCACAGCCUACCCCUGAAGAGGUAUGCUCAUUUUUUUUAUGUAUGUGACUUUUGUACCUCCUCAUAGCCUUAAUUUGUGUUAAUUAGCUGGGACUUAUACUAGAUUAAUAUAUUUAAGGGUUUUCAGUAGCAAGAGCUGAUUAAGUUAAAGUUUAUCUUCCCCAUAACAUUAUUAAGCUCAUAAUUAUUAAAUUAAAGUAGGUCUUUAUAACAUAAAGUUGAUUAGAGAACUGGAAGGAAGUUAUGUUUGUGUUAAUGGGCAUAGGAAAGAUUAAAAAGCCGAGACAAGAUAAUAUUGGAAAACAUAAUAGUCGGCUUUGUAACCUCCAGCUUUGUCUUUCUCCAGUAAGUAAAAUGGCACACAUGUUUCCUUUUUUCUCUUCUAGAGUUGGAGUGAAUGUGAUGUCUGGCAGUACACAUCUGGAAAAGGUCUGAGGGAUAACAAAUGACCCUGUACAGUAUGGAUAUUCCACCUAAACCACCUCCAAAAAUUUACAAUCUUACUUCCCACUGCAACAAAAACAGAAACUUGCUGACAACAAAAAAAACGCUGGAAUAGAUUCUCCCUUGCAUUGACAAGGCAACGUCUGUUAAGUGUUAAGUAUAGUAAUGUAGUUUCCGAGCACAGAGCAUUUCCAUAUAUCGUCAGUCAUGGAUAGUCAUAAAUUAAUAAAGGAACAUAUAAUAGAUUAGUGGUAGGUUUUUUCACCUAAAGAGCAAAUAGUAAUUAUAGUCUCUGUUGAUACGAAAUAUAGCGAGUCCAAUGUAAUGCUAUACUUGAUUCUAUUUCUAUAAUUUGGCAACAAUGCAAAAAAACUCAACUCCAAAGGGGUUUCGUUUUUGGAUGCCAAUAUACAUGAAUGCAUCCUUGCCACAAAUUAUUCACUAUAAAUGGUGUUGGGUAAAAGUUAAAAGAGUUGGUAAAAUUUGAAACUAGUUAUGCAACUAGCACUGGAGUGCAACUUUUAUUUUAGCACCAAUAAGUAUAGCUAUUUUGCAUCUAGCAUUGGAUUUGCUCUUAAAAGUCUUCCUUAUAUAUUCAUGGGUGUGUUGAUUUUUCUAAUAUAUGUUUCUUCAACUCCAUGUAGGUUGUAGAAGUACAAAAUCAAUAUAUCGAUGCGCUUAGGGAUCUCUUUGAACGACAUAAAGAAAAGGCAGGCCAUACUGAUCUUCAGUUGAGAAUUCUUUGAUAAAAGUACUCAACUUGUUUAUAUGCCUCGUCAUAUAAUUAAUUAUGAACAGUUUCUAUAUUCACUUUGGUUAUCUUAAAGUGUAAUGAUGGUGUAUUCAUUUUGUUUCUCAUGAAGUACAAUGAAGUGAUAUAGCGAACAUCUAAUAGUAAGCAUAUGAUUAUGGUACCAACCCUCCUGCUUUUAUGUUUCUAUAUCUUGCCUGAAAGAAGUGCUUGCCAUUGCAGAAUGAAUCCUCUUGAGCACUCAUUCCUCAGCUAAAUAAUACUCCCUCUGUCCCAUUUAAUUCUAUAUGUUUCUUUUUCACUGCUCGACACGCACUUCAAUGCUCUUGUAAAAUAUAGUUCUAUAACUUAUUUUUAAAAUUUUCUUUUUCUGAACAAAAAAUAUAACAUUCAAACUUUUAUUCAGAAAAGAAAAAUCUUAAAAAUAAGUUAUAAAACUAUACUUUACGGGAGCAUUAAAGUCCGUGCCGCGUCCCCGUCCCCCAAUGUAUACAACUCAGGGGGACGGAGGGAGUAAUCGUCAUUUGGAGUAUCCUUUCCCUCUGCACUGUUUCAAUGUUGUCACUAAGAUAUCUUCAGCAACAUUAGUUCUCUUACCAGUUACCACUGGUAUUGACGUGAUAUUACUGAAUCGCAUGAUUUUUUUUUUUAAUAAUUAUUUUUUUGUUUGGGGGGCGGGGGGAGUUGUUUAGGGAAUCUUGGUCUCUACAUUUUUUAGAAGUUUCACCUAAUAUGUGGAACCUUCACCCCUCCCAAAAUUAGUUUGAUGUUCAGACUUCAGACUUGGACAAGUUGUGCGCUGCACAGUAGAAUUUCACAUAAAGUCGUAGCUUAGUGUUAUAGGAUUCUGGCUGUUUUUGUUGAACUGAGUUAUUGUAUUUACCACCGAAACUUUUAGGGACAAACCUAUUAAGUAAUAGCACUUGUAGAAAGCUUGACUACCUGGCAACAGAAAGGUUAUGGAAGGAGUUGUUGAACUGUCUAAAGUAACAUAAUUUUUAGGAAUAUGAUGUACAACACAUAAGGAAUAAUUGCCUUCCAAGUAGAUUCAUCUCCAGGUACACAGGAGUAGUUUCAAAAGCUUGCUACCUUCAAAACUGCUCUGCACAAGAUCAAAGUAUUCACCACAGAGUCUGAUAGGCCUAGGCCGGUAUCAGAAAGGACUGCACCAAGAUCUGACUGACAAUUUGGUACUCAAUCUGGUACACGACACGAAAACUAGACGAGAACAUGCCAUGAAAAGUUAGUGUUUUGGUUUCAAUUUUUGGUACACGAAGGAAGAAACUACAUGAACAUGAAAGUACAUGAUGCAUUUAGUGUCGGAUAUGAGUUUUCACUUUAUAUACAUGAAAGUACACGAAUGCAUUUAGUCUCAGAUGUGAGUUUUCACCUUAUAUACAUGAAUGUACACAAUAUAAAUAUAUUUUUAAGUAAAAAAAAUAUAUCCCAACAUAAUUUUCUCCUCUAAUAUAUCAACAGUUUCUAACUAGAAGUGCCUGGAAGGCUGCAACACAGCUUCCCCUUUAAAAGACUUAUAAUCUGGAAAUGUAGCAAGAAAGGCUUGAGGUCCCAGGUAGAUUGGUCAGCUGUUUGUGAUAAUCAUUGAAUGAGGUAUUCCACUUCAGCAUCAUUCUGGAAUGGAAUAAUCCUCCUGGCCCAAGCAACAAGUGGUUAUAAUGAAGAACGAAAAAAAGAGCAGAGAAUCAGGAAGGAAUUUCUGAUACAACUGGCAAUGGAUCAUGAAACCGUUUUGAGUUCGGACACAUGAAAAACAUCAUGUGUUUCUGCUGAACUUUAUAACUUUAACCUGUAAGAAGCUGAAAUUUGCAAGGGUUUAUAGCACAGUACCUGGCUCAUGUACAGAAACCUGCUAUACGGAAUUAACUACAACCAGACCCAGUUCCCUACAGGCUACAUCAUUUUCUGUACUUGUGUGUUUGAGCUUUCAUUCUGUUUUGGACGAUUUUGAGAGCAGAGAUCAUAACCUCCCUUCUUUGCAGAUCUUUAUCUACUUGGUUAUUAGCAGAUUCUCGAGCUCAAUAUGGAAUGUCACAUCACAUACUCCAUCUCUCACUCAUUUUUCUAUGUUUUUUCCACUAUUCCGCACUUUGAUGUUUUUAUAAAAUAUUUUCUAUAAUUUUAAUUUUAAAAUUUUCUUUUUCUGAAUAAAAAUUUUAAUGUUAAACUUUUAUUUAGAAAAAAAAUCCUGAAAAAUUUAUUAUAAAAUUAUAGUUUACAAAAAUGUUAAAGUGUGUAUUAAUCUCCAUCCUGGAUGUGUACAAUCGAGGGGAGAAAGGGAGUAUAAUAUUUAAAUUUGGAUUUAAUGUGAAAUUUAGAAGAUAGCUGAUAUUAUAUUAUAUUUAAACAUUUCAAAUAAAAUAACAUGUAAUUUACAUGAGUUUGAAAUAAAAAUUUACCUUCUCAGUUCCAGUAGAAGUUCGUGCUGAUAACGUGUUGUAAUAUAUUAACUAUGAAAUAACAACACAACUAAAGAGUACUCAAUGCACUAUAUUAGGGAUCGGAAAAAAUAAAUCUACCUUGAGCUUAAGCCUAGGUAAGCCCUUCAGUAAUUACGUCUCUGCUUAUAAUAAUAUCAUCGUUAUUUCUUAUGAAUAGAUUUUUUAACCAAUUUUUAUAUAUCUGGCGCCACUCAAAUUUUGAAAUUUUUCGCGUGACAAUUUUAUAAAAAAAUAUUUUGAUUCGUACGAAAGAAUAUGGAGUGUAGCAUCUAAGUUUUAAAAAGAACCAAACUUGGAACCUAAAAAUCCAAAACUUUUACCAGUAAAACAAAUAUUCAUUUUUGCGUUUCACACAUUACUUGUGUAACAGACUUGCCUAAAUUCCAAAUCCCAUUGCAUUAAAUAGCAUCAACUGGAACAUGUUUAUAAGAACAAUAGACAUUUUUUUUUGUCAUACUUGAAAAUAAAAUAUUUAAAUAUAAAAUUUAUAAUUCUCUCCCCAGGCCCCCAAUUAUACAUACAAACCCUUGCCUACACACACAAAGCCCUGAUAUGAGAGCCUGUCUUCGCAACCUCUUAAAAACAGCUCGCAAUUUUCUCCCCCUCACUGCCGGCGCCGCCACUCUCUCCACCACCACUUCCCCCAAGCUCUCCGGCGCCGCCAUGGACGAUCUCCAGACUCUCAAGACUCGUCUCUGUAUCAUCGGCAGUGGGCCCGCCGCCCACACUGCCGCAAUCUACGCUGCCCGAGCUGAACUUAAGCCUAUUCUGUUUGAGGGUUGGAUGGCCAAUGAUAUUGCGCCAGGUGGACAGCUGACAACCACCACGGAUGUGGAGAACUUUCCGGGUUUUCCCGAGGGGAUUCUUGGGAUGGAGCUGAUGGACAAGUGUAGAGCUCAAUCGGUUAGGUUUGGUACUCAGAUUUAUACUGAAACUGUUAAUAAAGUUGAUUUUAGUAAGACCCCUUUUCGGGUUUUUACGGAUGGUAAAUGUGUGGUUGCUGAUUCUGUUAUUGUGGCUACGGGUGCGGUUGCGAAGAGGUUAAGUUUUCCGGGGUCCGGGGAUGGGAAUGGGGGGUUUUGGAACAGGGGGAUUUCGGCUUGCGCUGUGUGUGAUGGUGCUGCGCCUAUUUUUAGGAAUAAGCCUUUGGCUGUUAUUGGAGGGGGUGAUUCCGCCAUGGAGGAGGCCAAUUUUUUGACCAAGUAUGGUUCCAAGGUUUAUAUACUUCAUCGGAGGGAUGAGUUUAGGGCUUCCAAGAUAAUGCAGACUAGGGCAUUGAGUAAUCCCAAGAUUGAGGUCUUGUGGAAUUCGACCGUUGUGGAAGCUUAUGGGGAAGGGGACAAGGGGAAUUUGGGGGGUUUGAAGGUGAAGAAUGUUGUAACGGGGGAGGUUUCAGAUUUGAAGGUUAAUGGGUUGUUUUUCGCUAUAGGGCAUGAGCCGGCUACUAAGUUUUUGAAUGGGCAGUUGAAGUUGCAUUCGGAUGGGUAUGUGGCUACUACUCCGGGAACGACUGAGACGAGUGUUAAGGGUGUUUUUGCUGCUGGGGAUGUUCAGGAUAAGAAGUAUAGGCAGGCUGUUACUGCAGCUGGGUCUGGUAUGUCAUAUGAUUUUAUCUGUGUAUCCCUUUACUAUUAUACAACAAUGCUUAAGUGCUUUAUGGAAAUGAACUAUAAUAGCAUAGGCAGGCUUUAUGUUACAUCAGUAUCAUCUUGUAAAAAAGAAACUUUUUGUAGAACAAAGUUUAAUUACAUACAAGAGGUUUUGUACAACAGAUUAUGUGCAUCUAAUAGUACAUGACAUUAUGCAUAAUAGGAAUUUUUUGUGUAGUUUGUGAAUUCUUAUGUUCUUGAACCAUUGUUUUUUGCUGUUACCACUAAAUGUUGCAUAGAAAGAGAAUUGAGUAAAAACUUGUCUGUCCUUACAAGGCAUAAUGAUCAAACAUUUCUUAGAACUUCCCCUAAUAUUCAAAAUUGCAAAUUUUUUAACCUAUUUCACAGGUUUUAUUUUGGAAGGAUAUGCGCUUAAAAAUUCACUUCAUAGUUCUGCACUCCCAUAUUAAAUGUUAUUAGUAAUCGAGCUUCAUAUAUCCAAGAAUAGCUGAAAUCAUACCUAGGCUUGUUUCUAAGGAGAUGACUAGAUUGCUAUUCUUUUUUGGUUUUAGUAUUAAAGCUUUUUGGCAAUGGAUAUUGAUGGUGCUUCUUCUAUAGUCUUAAGUACUGCUGGAUCUGAUACAAUAAAACCUGGGAUAUAUAUAUUAUUUUUGUAUGUGUUUUGAAGUUAGUAUAUUUUGAUUGCUGACAUCCAAGGUUACUGCAAUAGACCUUCCAAUAUUGCAGCAGAGAUGAAACCAAAACCUAGUCGUGUUUCUUGCUCAAAAGAUCUACUUGUUGCUAGUCGUGUGUUUCUUUUCAAUCAAAAUAGAUAAUAAGAAGAAAAAAAAAACACUCCAUGAUUAAUGGUUAAGAAUAUUUGAACAGGCCUUUUUUUUGUGUUGGUUUUUAUUAGCACAAAAAAGGGAAUAAAAUGAGAAGAAAAGGCCUCAUUAUGAAAAUAGAAUUUCUUUCGUCAGAUUUCUAUUUAAGUUGGUGUACAUGGUAGUAUCCUCCUAUCGUGCUUUUCUGCUAUGUUGCAAUGUGUUCUUUUAUGAAUGGGUUAAAUACUACUCCGCCCGUCCCACCCAAUUAUAUACAAUAUUUUUGCAUUCUUGACACAAACUUUAAGACUUCUAUAACUUAUUUUUUAAAAUUAUUGUUUCUGAAUAAUAAUUUAAACACUAAAUUUUUAUUUAGAAGGAAAACAAGUUUAAAAUAUUUUAUGAAAAUAUAUUUUAUAAGAGUGUUAAAGUACGUGCCGAGCCGUCCGUCCCAAAUGUAUAAAAUUAAAUGGGACGGAGGUAAUACCAUUUUUGUGCCCGAAAUAGAACUUCUUAGGAAUUUUUUUAAUGAUCAGUGUAAGAAUAGCAGGCAAUUGUUUUUGAUGUCUUCAUUAUUAUUAUUUAUUUUACUCGUUUUUUAAGUUUCUUUUUAGCUAGCAAUUUUAUGAACCUUUUGUCCACGCCAGCUGUAUCUCUUUUUUUCAUACAGAUAUUUUCUCUUUGAUCAAAAAAGGUAUGUUGGGUGUUAGAUGCGUCGUUAAGGUUGUGACUUGCGAGCAGUUAGUUAAUUAUAAGUGAGGAGAACAGAUGAAUUGUUGCCUUGACCGGUCAGGUUUCCUUGUUUUGUUCGAUUAGGUGAUGUUGACGACAUGCCGUCAUGAAAAUUUCCCCUUGGACCUUUUCUUUUCUCUGUAAGAAAUUGUUCAAAUUCAAUUGAGGGCUUCAGAUACUGAUCACUACAGGAUACAUAAAUUACAUUAUGUACAACUGAUAGUCUGAUACAUUAUUAUUAUUUUGUCUUUUCUAGCUUAGGAUUUUUAUGUGUGGUAUUUUUUAAAGAAAAAUUAUUGACACUUGUGCGAUGCAGGAUGCAUGGCGGCACUAGAAGCAGAACACUAUCUGCAAGAGAUUGGAGCACAAGAGGGAAAAAGUGAUUGAUUAUCCAACAAAAUGCUUGAGAGAUCGCAAGGAACCUAAAUUGAACAAGUAACAUCAAUAAAAAACAAAUCAUAUCUUCAAGUACAGACUCUGGUCUUACAAUUUGACAAUUAAGGAUUCAUUUAUGGAACUUAAAAAAACAUCACUUGUUGCUUUAACUGAUUUAAGUUCAAGAUUUGUGGUCAAAUAUUAUAUAUAGCAUUCUUGCAACUCUACAUUCUACAUAUCUACUGUCUAGGCAAGUCACUGGUGCUUUAUGGGUGUCUAGUGCCUUCGUAUGUAUGCAAACCUUUGAAGAAAUGUG
RNAcentral lists this long non-coding RNA (23709 nucleotides) under Daucus carota (carrot). Its description in RNAcentral is "long non-coding RNA (DCAR_LNC000606)". The stretch from base 3 to 287 matches the Rfam family "Plant signal recognition particle RNA". Lineage: Eukaryota; Viridiplantae; Streptophyta; Magnoliopsida; Apiales; Apiaceae. The record is from RNAcentral.